CCCUGGUUAGCUCAAUUGGUAGAGCGCUCCACUGGAGAUGGCGAGGCCCCGGGUUCGAUGACCGGACCAGGCA
RNAcentral lists this transfer RNA (73 nucleotides) under Ixodes scapularis (black-legged tick). It matches the Rfam family "tRNA". Rfam says of the family: Transfer RNA (tRNA) molecules are approximately 80 nucleotides in length. Their secondary structure includes four short double-helical elements and three loops (D, anti-codon, and T loops). The record is from Rfam by way of RNAcentral. Lineage: Eukaryota; Metazoa; Arthropoda; Arachnida; Ixodida; Ixodidae.